RNAcentral lists this microRNA precursor (163 nucleotides) under Pelobates cultripes (western spadefoot toad). The record is from RNAcentral. Lineage: Eukaryota; Metazoa; Chordata; Amphibia; Anura; Pelobatidae.
GCUGACACGUCCCGGCCAAUCUCCAGCAGACCCUCCCUCCCAGACCCCCCUACUUCCUGGACAGCAUCCAUGUUGAAACUGGACAGAAUCUGUGUUGAUGCUGUCCAGGAAGUAGGAGGGACUGGGAGGGAGGGUCUGCUGGAGAUUGGCCGGGACGUGUCAG